Molecule: ribosomal RNA, 426 nt
Filed under: uncultured Gammaproteobacteria bacterium
Lineage: Bacteria; Pseudomonadati; Pseudomonadota; Gammaproteobacteria
Description: bacterial SSU rRNA
Rfam family: Bacterial small subunit ribosomal RNA
Source: RNAcentral
GGGGAAUAUUGCACAAUGGGGGAAACCCUGAUGCAGCCAUGCCGCGUGUGUGAAGAAGGCCUUCGGGUUGUAAAGCACUUUCAGUCAGGAGGAAGGUGGUGUAGCAAAUAUCUGACCCAAUUGACGUUACUGACAGAGAAAGCACCGGAUACCCCUGUGCCAGCAGCCGCGGUAAUACGGAGGGUGCGAGCGUUAAUCGGAAUUACUGGGCGUAAAGCGUGCGCAGGCGGUUUGUUAAGCGAGAUGUGAAAGCCCCGGGCUCAACCUGGGAUGGUCAUUUCGAACUGGCAAGCUAGAGUCUCGUAGAGGGGGGUAGAAUUCCAGGUGUAGCGGUGAAAUGCGUAGAGAUCUGGAGGAAUACCGGUGGCGAAGGCGGCCCCCUGGACGAAGCCUGACGCUCAGGCACGAAAGCGUGGGGAGCAAACA